This 490-nucleotide ribosomal RNA is filed under the name uncultured bacterium. Its description in RNAcentral is "partial 16S ribosomal RNA". It matches the Rfam family "Bacterial small subunit ribosomal RNA", at positions 30 to 507 of the family's 1533-position model. The record is from RNAcentral.
AUUGAACGCUGGCGGCAGGCUUAACACAUGCAAGUCGAGCGGUAGCACAGGGGAGCUUGCUCCCUGGGUGACGAGCGGCGGACGGGUGAGUAAUGUCUGGGAAACUGCCUGAUGGAGGGGGAUAACUACUGGAAACGGUAGCUAAUACCGCAUAACGUCGCAAGACCAAAGAGGGGGACCUUCGGGCCUCUUGCCAUCAGAUGUGCCCAGAUGGGAUUAGCUAGUAGGUGGGGUAAUGGCUCGCCUAGGCGACGAUCCCUAGCUGGUCUGAGAGGAUGACCAGCCACACUGGAACUGAGACACGGUCCAGACUCCUACGGGAGGCAGCAGUGGGGAAUAUUGCACAAUGGGCGCAAGCCUGAUGCAGCCAUGCCGCGUGUGUGAAGAAGGCCUUCGGGUUGUAAAGCACUUUCAGCGAGGAGGAAGGUGGUGAGCUUAAUACGCUCAUCAAUUGACGUUACUCGCAGAAGAAGCACCGGCUAACUCCGUG